CCUACGGGUGGCAGCAGUGAGGAAUAUUGGUCAAUGGACGAGAGUCUGAACCAGCCAAGUAGCGUGAAGGAUGACUGCCCUAUGGGUUGUAAACUUCUUUUAUAAAGGAAUAAAACGAGGCACGUGUGCCUUUUUGCAUGUACUUUAUGAAUAAGGACCGGCUAAUUCCGUGCCAGCAGCCGCGGUAAUACGGAGGGUCCGGGCGUUAUCCGGAUUUAUUGGGUUUAAAGGGAGCGUAGAUGGGUUGUUAAGCCAGCUGUGAAAGUUUGCGGCUCAACCGUAAAAUUGCAGUUGAUACUGGCAGUCUUGAGUACAGUUGAGGUAGGCGGAAUUCGUGGUGUAGCGGUGAAAUGCUUAGAUAUCACGAAGAACCCCGAUUGCGAAGGCAGCUUGCUAAACUGUGACUGACAUUGAUGCUCGAAAGUGUGGGUAUCGAACAGGAUUAGAUACCCCAGUAGUC
RNAcentral lists this ribosomal RNA (460 nucleotides) under uncultured bacterium. Its description in RNAcentral is "partial 16S ribosomal RNA". It matches the Rfam family "Bacterial small subunit ribosomal RNA", at positions 338 to 795 of the family's 1533-position model. The record is from RNAcentral.